UGUGAAAGAUGAAUGAAAGAUAUCUUUAUCUAGACAGCUAAUACAAAUGACCUGUAUCAUUUACUGUAACAAAGGUAUAAUAACUAUAACAAAGAAUAUAUAGCAAUUGUUUCUAACAAUAAUAAGCAA
Tachysurus fulvidraco (yellow catfish) is the source of this 129-nucleotide long non-coding RNA. RefSeq lists it as uncharacterized. Lineage: Eukaryota; Metazoa; Chordata; Actinopteri; Siluriformes; Bagridae. The transcript has 2 exons. The record is from RefSeq and is a predicted model, not a curated record.